RNAcentral lists this long non-coding RNA (330 nucleotides) under Brassica napus (rape). RNAcentral's name for it is "long non-coding RNA (BNAP_LNC026515)". The record is from RNAcentral. Lineage: Eukaryota; Viridiplantae; Streptophyta; Magnoliopsida; Brassicales; Brassicaceae.
AGAGGGGGAUUGCUGAACUCGUCUUUUGACGAGCUGCCUACGUACCCCUUUCGAGGAUCAAGCCAUCUCGUAGUUUUGUUUCAUGCCGCGAGUGUUCUUACUCGGCGGUAGAUGUUGCGAUGUCCGCCUUGACCGUGUCGAUCGUGGCUGGGUCAACGCUAUUUUCCGGAUGUUCCGGUUGAGUUGUCGCGUGGGCUUCCGACUUAUGUCGAGCUUCGACGUCAGAUGCGUUUACGUCGGUAGACGAUUUUAAUUCGUCUUAUCCCGGGGCGCUUUUGGCUGAAGAUCGAUCUAUCUUCGCGCUUUUGCCGUUUGCAGUUGCAGAAGCCG